This 428-nucleotide ribosomal RNA is filed under the name uncultured bacterium. RNAcentral describes it as "bacterial SSU rRNA". It matches the Rfam family "Bacterial small subunit ribosomal RNA", at positions 917 to 1344 of the family's 1533-position model. The record is from RNAcentral.
GGGCCCGCACAAGCGGUGGAGUAUGUGGUUUAAUUCGAUGCAACGCGAAGAACCUUACCAGGGUUUGACAUCCUGCGAAUCUCUUGGAAACGAGAGAGUGCCUUCGGGAGCGCAGUGACAGGUGGUGCAUGGCUGUCGUCAGCUCGUGUCGUGAGAUGUUGGGUUAAGUCCUAUAACGAGCGCAACCCCUGCCGUUAGUUGCCAGCAUGUAAUGAUGGGAACUCUAGAGAGACUGCCGGUGAUAAACCGGAGGAAGGUGUGGAUGACGUCAAGUCAUCAUGCCCCUUACAUCCUGGGCUACACACGUACUACAAUGCUACGGACAAAGGGCUGCAAGUUCGCGAGGACAAGCAAAUCCCAUAAACCGUGGCUCAGUUCAGAUCGUAGGCUGCAACUCGCCUACGUGAAGGCGGAAUCGCUAGUAAUCG